Molecule: ribosomal RNA, 506 nt
Filed under: uncultured bacterium
Lineage: Bacteria
Description: partial 16S ribosomal RNA
Rfam family: Bacterial small subunit ribosomal RNA
Source: RNAcentral
AUUGAACGCUGGCGGUAUGCUUAACACAUGCAAGUCGAACGGCAGCACGGUCUAGCUUGCUAGAUGGGUGGCGAGUGGCGAACGGGUGAGUAACGCGUAGGAAUAUACCUUAAAGAGGGGGAUAACUUGGGGAAACUCAAGCUAAUACCGCAUAAUGUCUGAGGACAAAAGCUGGGGACCUUCGGGCCUGGCGCUUUGAGAUUAGCCUGCGUACGAUUAGCUAGUUGGUGGGGUAAGGGCCUACCAAGGCGACGAUCGUUAGCUGGUCUGAGAGGAUGACCAGCCACACUGGAACUGAGACACGGUCCAGACUCCUACGGGAGGCAGCAGUGGGGAAUAUUGGACAAUGGGGGCAACCCUGAUCCAGCAAUACCGCGUGUGUGAAGAAGGCCUGAGGGUUGUAAAGCACUUUCAGUGGGGAGGAGGUUAAUUAGGUUAAGAGCUAGAUUAAUGGACGUUACCCACAGAAGAAGCACCGGCUAACUCCGUGCCAGCCGCCGCCGUAA